This 440-nucleotide ribosomal RNA is filed under the name uncultured bacterium. RNAcentral's name for it is "partial 16S ribosomal RNA". It matches the Rfam family "Bacterial small subunit ribosomal RNA", at positions 338 to 795 of the family's 1533-position model. The record is from RNAcentral.
CCUACGGGAGGCAGCAGUGGGGAAUAUUGCACAAUGGGGGAGACCCUGAUGCAGCAACGCCGCGUGAGUGAUGAAGGACUUAGGGGUGGAAAGCUCUAUCAGUAGGGAAGAAGAGGACGGUACCUGAGUAAGAAUCCCCGGCUAACUACGAGCCAGCAGCCGCGGUACUACGUAGGAGGCAAGCGUUAUCCGGAUUUACUGGGUGUAAUGGGAGCGUAGACGGUGAGAUAAGUCUGAAGUGAAAGCACGGGGCUCAACCCCGAUACUGCUUUGGAAACUGCCUGACUGGAGUGCAGGAGAGGCAAGCGGAAUUCGUGGUGUAGCGGUGAAAUGCUUAGAUAUUAGGAAGAACACCAGUGGCGAAGGCGGCUUGCUGGACAGUAACUGACGUUGAGGCUCGAAAGCGUGGGGAGCAAACAGGAUUAGAUACCCCUGUAGUC